CGCGUAGGCGGCAUGCCAAGCGUGUGGUGAAAGCCCGGGGCUCAACCCCGGGUCGGCCGUGCGGACUGGCGUGCUCGAGCACUGUAGGGGCGGGUGGAAUUCCGGGUGUAGCGGUGGAAUGCGUAGAGAUCCGGAAGAACACCGGUGGCGAAGGCGGCCCGCUGGGCAGGAAGGAAGCGUAAGCUUCCGGCUGACGCUGAGGCGCGACAGCGUGGGGAGCAAACAGGAUUAGAUACCCUGGUAGUCCACGCCGUAAACGAUGGGCACUAGGUGCUUGGGGGAGCGACCCUCCGGGUGCCGGCGCUAACGCAUUAAGUGCCCCGCCUGGGGAGUACGGCCGCAAGGCUGAA
Molecule: ribosomal RNA, 350 nt
Filed under: uncultured Gemmatimonadota bacterium
Lineage: Bacteria; Pseudomonadati; Gemmatimonadota
Description: bacterial SSU rRNA
Rfam family: Bacterial small subunit ribosomal RNA
Source: RNAcentral